This is a long non-coding RNA of Lethenteron reissneri (Far Eastern brook lamprey), 5768 nucleotides long. RefSeq lists it as uncharacterized. Lineage: Eukaryota; Metazoa; Chordata; Hyperoartia; Petromyzontiformes; Petromyzontidae. The record is from RefSeq and is a predicted model, not a curated record.
CCCCUCCUCCCCCAGCCCCUCCCCACCCUCCCCUCCCUCAGCCCCUCCCCACCCUCCCAUCUCCACCCAGCCCCACCCCUCCCACCCCCACCCUCCCCUCCUCAUGCACGACAGACAAAUAAUCCCUGGUGGGCAGUGUGGAAUCUGUUGUUCCUACCGGUAUAACAGUGGGAAAUAUCUGAACCGGUCCUGGGCCUCCCCUUGAUCGACUCAACCUCAAAUGAGUACCUGAUACAGUGGGUACACAUCACCACGAGGGAGACAAAUGCGUGGUGUUGGCUACCCACUCCCCUGUGUACUGUGCCCGUCCUCUGUAGGUCCUCACUAACACCACUUGCCUCAAAAAUUUGUUAAGGCUAUGAGGGGGGAUCUUUGUCUUUGUACAGUGGCAUUGGCUACGUAUAAACUGAUACUUUGAACGGAGUUUAUAAUACAGCAUGGCCUACGUGUAACGCAUCAUAUACCGUGAAGACAGCACCAUGAAAGUGUGUGCCGUAUAAUACAGAGUAUGUGUAAAGGAGCAUAGCCUGUGCACGUACUGCAGCGUUACUUUGAACUGAAACGUGGCAUGGCCGUUAUGUGUAGAACAGCAUUUCUUGUGUAUAUGUAGUGGGUUCCCACGGAGACUGGAGACGUAGCUUAGAGGCAACACGGUUUAUUUAAAUCUUAUAACAGAAGCCCCUUUUACUCCCACUACUUGGGGAGGUAUGGCCUCCGGGCUAACGUGCCCUAUCACUGGGGCUACGGGCUCUGAGUCCUCCGACUAAGGGUGGCCUCGGGGAGGCUAUGCUGACCCGACCCAGCCAACGUGCGGGUCUCAACCACUGGUCCGUGCUCGGCCCCGCCCCUUAAAAGGACGUCGGGUCCCGGGGUCCCAGGGUCCCAGGGUCCCGGGGUCCCAGGGUCCUAGCCUAGCCGGUCUUCAGUCUUCGUCUUCAGAGCACUGCCUCGGGCCGUCCUGGGGUCCGUCUUUUAUACCCACCUUGGGGACUCUCCACCCCCGGUACCGCCCCCUUUCUGGAACCUUCAAGGUGGCUCUGGAAUAACCCCCCAACCCCUCGGGAUCGGGGGGGGGGGAACUCGGCCUCUCAACGGUCCCGGUUCUCUCUCUAACUCACGGUGGCACCCCCUGCAGACUCGUGCCCGCAACUACAGUGAUGGGCUGCUGCUGCUGCACCUGUUGACGUUGAUGUCGGGGCAGGCAGAGUCCUCGCUCCGGGUCCCGGUGGCGUUGCUCCGGGGGAACGUGCAGAAGAAGGCGUUGGCCAGGAGGCAGGCGGCCUGCUCCUGAGACAUCGUCAGCAUCAAGCCGGUGUCCCGGCGGAGCAGCGGCAGGGGCUGGGGACACGUGCGGUGCACAGGGCGCAGCGACGUCACACGCGGCAACGGGUGGCACGGGGUUGCAGAGGAGCAACGGCGCAAUGGUAACACCGAUGCAGAGCACUGAUCCUGCACCACUGGGAUGCUGGGGUCUGGAUCAAGGAGUUCUGAAAUGCACGUAAACCAGAUUAUUGUUGUACACGUGAGGUUAAUGCUGCAGCCCUGCAAUUACUUGCUCAUGCAACUGCUGGUGAAAGAACCUCCACUAGAGGGAGGUCUAGAGUGCCGAUCCGGUGGGUAUGUUUUGGCCAACUUUUCCACACUGACCAUUCGUCUUGAACGAGGUGGGAGUACUCGCCAUUUAGCCCACUGCACGCGACCCACCGAUGGACUGUGGGUGGACAAAACAGGGAAUUGUAAGAAUCCUGGUCAAUGUUUUCAAGGCCAGGCUGGGAGAUCGAACCGCGACAUUUGAAGUCAAUCGUGACAACCAUCCCACAGUCAUGGCAGCAGCCCUUUUGCAGAAAUAAAAUAAAAUAUUGGAGAGGGCUUCACACAAGAAACAAGAAGAUUUAGUGGUUUGGACGUGGCUCUCCAAUGAGUACAGAUAGGGUACCACAAGUAGCGGUGCAUACUCGGGCGCAGAAAUAGAAGCAGAGACAAAGAAUGAGAUAGAUCGAUGCAAUAAAGAAUUGGCAGUGGUGCACCAAGCACGACCCCUUGCUGAGCGCUGCAGCAGCAGCCCCCCCCCACCCCCGGACCCCUCCCCCACCCUCCACUUCUCACCCUGACGCCACACAACCCGUAGGUAGGCGCUGCCCUCUGGUGGACAAGGCGCGGUACAGGCGGCAGCACGAGACGCCAGCAGCGUUGCGCUGCCAGGGUUACUCACCCGAACACCUCCGUACACUUACACACACCUACACACACCUCUAUACACCUCUAUACACUCACACACACCUACACACUUACAAAGACAAAGAUCCCCCGUAUGGCCUGUAGAGGCAAGUGCUGUUAGCGAGCACCUAUGAAGGCCGGAACGGUACACGAGGGGGUGGGUGGCCAGCACCACGCCCGACUGCCUUUGUCUCCCCAGUGGCGAUGUUUACACACCGCACCAGGUACUCAUUUAAGGCUGAGUCGACCUAGGGGAGGCCCAGGACCGGUUCAGAUAAUCGUCACUGGUGUUAGCCGUGAGUGGGAAUCGAACCCGGGUCGCCAGGUUCAUAGCGCAGCGCGCUAACUGCUACACUACCGCUCCCCACACACCUACACGCACACACCUCUACACACUUACACACCUACACACACACACACCUAUACAACAACAACCGCCAUUCGCCACUAAGUGGCGGUGACGUCACCACGACGCUUGUGCCAGGCCAAGUGCACCUUGAGGCCACGUGAAGUGUCGAACGCCCGCUGGCAGGAGGUCACAGGGCAGACCCAGCAGGUGCCACGGGUCGACUGACCGAGAUGACCGAGAUGACUGGCUGAUGCACCACCUGUGGCCCCCUACCGUACCAACUUGCUGUGCUUUAGCCACCCGGCGCUCCGCUCGUUGUUGUGAACGUCGCUCCUCAGCCCUCCGUUGUUGUUGGAGGGCGACUGCCUCCAACUGCCCAGUAGCGUCCUUCACGAGCCUCCUCCACUGAGGCCGAUCUUGACACUGCUGGUACCAGUCAUCGGCAAGUCCACUCAGCUCCACGUCCUCCUGUACCACAUCACUCCAUCUCUUCUCUAGCCCGCGCCGCGCCCGUUUAGCCCCCUCGAUUUUAGGCAUGCGGUAGCUGGGCAUGCGUGCUACAUGACCCAGCCAACGCAGCCUUGCCUGCCGGAGGAGCUCACCGAUGGGACUUUGCCCAGAUCUUUCAAGGAUUUGUGAGCUCCUUACACAAUCCAGCCUGGUUAAACCCAGGAUGGAUCGUAGGCAGGCCAGCCUAAAUGUUUCCAACCGACGAAGUUGCUCCAUUAGGGGGGUCCACGUUUCGCAAGCGUAGAGAAGGGAGGGAAUGACCGUGGCCGAGAAGACCUGAAGCUUCGUGCGGAGGUAGCUUCCACACAGCGUUACGCAACCGAUGAAAAGAUAAUGCCGCUCGACUGAUUCGGAGUGAGACCUCUGCUGAUAAACUGGAGCCGGUCAUAAGCACACUGCCCAGGUAUGGGAAACUCUCCACUCUCUCCACAACUGCCCCAUCACCGAUUGGGAGUUGUGGGGGUGGAGUGUCUGAUGGUACAAAAUACCCAGGCAGGUGCUUAGUUUUGGUGGGGCUGAUGGUAAGGCCCCACCUCUUAGUGGCACGCUCCAGUUUCAGCAGCAGCGUCUCCAACUCCUCUUCUGAAUGAGCAGCUAUUACCAAAUCAUCGGCAUACAUAACGUGGUCGAUCAGCCUCCCAUUAUAUCUGUACCAAAUGGAAAUUCCCCCGGUACAGCUAUUGAAGGCUUCACGAACUACGCAGUCGAAAUAGAUGUUAAAUAAUGUGGGAGCCUGAGGACAUCCCUGUCGCACCACAAGGUGUACAGGGGAAGGCUCUGAUUCCCGGCCACGUAGUUUUACCCGGGCCCGCUCACCAUCAUGAAGGUCCUUAAUGAUCGUGAACAGAGGGUCAGGGACUCCGAAAGCACGAAGAACAACCCAGAGCCCAGGCCUACUGAUGGUAUCAUAGGCCUUGACCAGGUCAAUAAAGCAGAGAUGAAGGUCUUGUUGGAAUUCCCUACACCUCUGCUGUAGCAGACAGACAGAAAAUAUGGCAUCUGUACAGGACCGCCCUUUCCUGAAACCGCAUUGGGGUUCUGCAAGCCUCUCCUCAGCGUGCCGAGCAAGGCAUCCUUCCAAUCCUGCGGUACCCGUCCAGCGGUCCAGACUGUUGUUAUGAUGUCAUAUAGGGCAGUCUGUGCACAAGCGCCACCCUCCCUCAGCAUUUCGCUUGGGAGAUCAUCUCUGCCCGGUGCCUUUCCUGGUCUCAGACUCCGGAUCGCCUUCAGUACUUCCUCAACAGAUGGCACCUCAGCCAGCCACUCACAGGGGGUGACCUCCUCCAAUAUUUGAGGCACCGCAGCCUCAGCAGGGUUAUCCCCACUUUGUGCCAUGAUGUUUUCCUGGCUGAGAGAUUUUCCCUCCCCCAGGACCUCACACACACCUAUAUACACUUACACACACACACCUCUAUACACUCACACACACCUACACACACACACUUCUAUACACUCACACACACCUACACACACACCUCUAGACACUUACACACAUCUACACACACACCUCUAUACACACACCUCUAUACACUCACACACACCUACACACACCUCUAUACACUCACACACACCUACACACACCUCUAUACACUCACACACACUGACACACACCUCUAUACACUUACACCUACACACACCUCUAUACACCUAAACACCUACACACACACCUCUAUAUACCUAAACACCUACACACACCUCUAUACACGUACACACACCUACACACACACCUCUAUACACUUACACACACCUACACACACACCUCUAUACACUUACACACACACCUCUAUACACUUACACACACACCUCUCUACACCUAAACACCCACACACACACCUCUAUACCCUUACUCACACCUACACACACACCUCUAUACACGUACACACACCUACACACACACCUCUAUACACUUACACACACACCUCUAUACACCUAAACACCUACACACACACCUCUAUACACGUACACACACCUACACACACACCUCUAUACACUUACACACCUCUAUACACCUAAACACCUACACACACCUCUAUACCCUUACUCACACCUACACGCAGGAGGAGGUGGUAGUGCGGGAACGAAAGGGCCUGGCUCGUGUGGCGAACGCGAUCCAUGCGCUCCUCCGCAGCAUGAUGCUGUUUUGUUGCGACCGGUCGACCGCACAGUUGGGGUGAUGGAGGUGGUGCGGUGCUUACCAUGACCGCUAUCACCACAUGCACCACACCAUCUACCCACCCACCCCGUGAUACACACCACACACACCACACACCCCACUCACACCACACACACCACACACACCACUCACACUACACACACCACACACACCACUCACACCACACACACCACACACACCAGACACACCGCACACACCGCACACACCGCACACACACACCCACUCACACCCCUCAUACCACUCACACUACACACACCACACACACCACACACACCACUCACACCACACACACCACACACACCACACGGUUCCCCGGAAAGACGGUGCCACUGGGACCGCAGCCGGGGAAGGAAACUGAGCAGCAGAUGCCAGGACUGGACUGGACAAUGACUGCUGCCAACAGACUAACUCUGUUCAGAGAUAGGAUCAAUCCAAUGUAUUAUGUAAUACUUAUCAUUGUUGUUUUUAUUAUUAACGUCAUGACAUGAACUUAUGAGGAAACAAUGUAACUUUGCAUUG